UACGAAGGGGGCUAGCGUUGCUCGGAAUCACUGGGCGUAAAGCGCACGUAGGCGGAUUGUUAAGUCAGGGGUGAAAUCCUGGAGCUCAACUCCAGAACUGCCUUUGAUACUGGCGAUCUUGAGUCCGGGAGAGGUGAGUGGAACUCCGAGUGUAGAGGUGAAAUUCGUAGAUAUUCGGAAGAACACCAGUGGCGAAGGCGGCUCACUGGCCCGGUACUGACGCUGAGGCGCGAAAGCUAGGGGAGCAAACGGG
This 253-nucleotide ribosomal RNA is filed under the name uncultured bacterium. RNAcentral describes it as "partial 16S ribosomal RNA". It matches the Rfam family "Bacterial small subunit ribosomal RNA", at positions 524 to 776 of the family's 1533-position model. The record is from RNAcentral.